CUCAUUGACAGCUUCUCCCUCGAAGAGCUCUUCAGCACCAUCAAGGCAUUCAGAGACCUCUUCCUUCGAACCCUCAAGGAGAACGAAGGUCACAGGGAGCAGGAGAAGAGGAGGAAGAGGUUGGAGGAAGGGAGGAAACUGAGAGAAGAAGCCCCCACCAGAAAGAUCAGCAAGUCAGACACCAUUAUUUCACCUUAAAUCCUCCCUCCUUAAAUGGAGAGACAGGUGUCCCUCACCUGUCUCUCCAGGUGUGGCAGGUGAAGGACAGGUCAAGUGCAAGUGGAGAACAGGUGAGACAUGUGAAGGGCCGGUGACGGACAGGUCGAGAAUCAAUAGCUGACAUCAGCAACAUUUUUCUGCAACAGUUUAUCAGCAGCUGAAUAUUUAAAGGAAAUGAUGUGACAGCAUCAGGACGAGAAGAAAGUUUGUAAAGAUUAAAUGCUGCU
Molecule: long non-coding RNA, 446 nt
Organism: Astatotilapia calliptera (eastern happy)
Lineage: Eukaryota; Metazoa; Chordata; Actinopteri; Cichliformes; Cichlidae
Source: Ensembl